ACGAAGGGUGCAAGCGUUACUCGGAAUUACUGGGCGUAAAGCGUGCGUGGGUGGUGAGUUAAGUCUGUCGUGAAAGCCCCGGGCUCAACCUGGGAAUGGCGAUGGAUACUGGCUUACUAGAGUGCGGUAGAGGGUAGUGGAAUUCCCGGUGUAGCAGUGAAAUGCGUAGAUAUCGGGAGGAACAUCUGUGGCGAAGGCGACUACCUGGACCAGCACUGACACUGAGGCACGAAAGCGUGGGGAGCAAACAGGA
This 253-nucleotide ribosomal RNA is filed under the name uncultured prokaryote. Its description in RNAcentral is "partial 16S ribosomal RNA". It matches the Rfam family "Bacterial small subunit ribosomal RNA", at positions 525 to 777 of the family's 1533-position model. The record is from RNAcentral.